RNAcentral lists this ribosomal RNA (253 nucleotides) under uncultured bacterium. RNAcentral's name for it is "partial 16S ribosomal RNA". It matches the Rfam family "Bacterial small subunit ribosomal RNA", at positions 524 to 776 of the family's 1533-position model. The record is from RNAcentral.
UACGUAGGGGGCAAGCGUUGUCCGGAAUCAUUGGGCGUAAAGCGCGUGUAGGCGGCCCGGUAAGUCGGGUGUGAAAUCUCGGAGCUUAACUCCGAAACUGCAUUCGAUACUGCCGUGCUUGAGGACUGGAGAGGAGACUGGAAUUUACGGUGUAGCGGUGAAAUGCGUAGAUAUCGUAAGGAAGACCAGUGGCGAAGGCGGGUCUCUGGACAGUUCCUGACGCUGAGGCACGAAGGCCAGGGGAGCAAACGGG